Molecule: long non-coding RNA, 1475 nt
Organism: Dioscorea cayenensis subsp. rotundata (Guinea yam)
Lineage: Eukaryota; Viridiplantae; Streptophyta; Magnoliopsida; Dioscoreales; Dioscoreaceae
Exons: 8
Source: RefSeq, a predicted model, not a curated record
CUCUCCCGCAGAAACCCCUACCGACCUCUCCAUUCGCUUCUUCUUCGCCCAAUCACUCACGAUGGAGAACUCGAACGAGCUCAGCACCGGAGUUAAGUCCGCCGAUCAUAACCCUAACCCCAACACUGCUGCUGUCACUGGCGAUGGCGAUGGGGAUCCUGCCCAAGCCGUAUCGCGGCCAACCCGCACGCCGUCCACCAACCUUAGCGAAGUGGAUACCGAUCUUGCCCUUGCGCGCACUCUCCAAGAACAGGUUUGAUUCCUUACUGAGCCCUGUUACCAAAAUUUGGAGCCCUCGUUGGGUCGCGAUUCCAAGACACAGCGAAGAAGAAGAAGAGAGAAAUCGAGACGAAUUGAUACAAGAGAGGAAGGAAUUGAGCCAAGGAGAGGAUCAGCAUCGAUAUCGGUUUCCAAGGAGGAGGAAUCUCAAGUCUUCUUCUCGGGGGUUGGAGUUCAUGGUGUUGCUCUGGAUCUCGGUGCUUUGAUUUCUUCAAGCUUUGAUCAAAAUCCAGCCGGGCGUCGACCGACAGCGGUGGCUUUUGGUUCUGUGGAGAUUAUAUGGUUGAGGAGCUUUGCUGAAUUCAGGGCAUAGCAUAGCAUAUACUUAUGUUUUUGGAAACGUGAAGAAUGUCUGAUAUUGCUCUUCAUCUCCUGUUUAGAGCUCAUGCUUCAUUGUGUUAGAAGUGGACAAGGUGGAGCAGGAUGAAUGCUCAGGCACACUUGUCAGGACAUAUCUCUGGGCAGGUGCCUAAUCAGCCUUCCCAGAUGCAUAACUUUGGAGGACAUAACUUGGAUCUUGAUCUCUCAGCAAAACGCAGGCUCGUUUAUGAUCAUAUUGGAAAUCGGUACUGAGGAUUAUUCACGGCUCUUCCAUUAUUCUGCUACUACCUUGUGCAAGGGUUGCUUUUUAUAGAAGGGUGAGAAGGAGGGUAGGUUUUCAAUUUAUGUACAUUCGAGGCCUGGGUUUCUACUCAAUAAAGACACAACAAGGUCUGCUUACUUUUAUGGCCGUCAGGUCAACAACAGUAUACAGGUGGACUGGGCCGAAUCAAAAGCAUGAUUGAAGCAGAUGUAUUUUGCUUAGAAAUGCACUCAAGGAUCCAUUUAAUGUGAGAUUUGCUUUUGUAUCUGAUAGUUGUAUACCACUAUAUAAUUUCAGUUAUAUAUAUGACUACAUAAUGUCAACAUCAACAAGCUACCUAGACAGGUACUUGAUGCUUCUAGUGCUCAACAAACGUUGUGUGGGAAUAAUCAUUCUCAUGAAUCAAGUCAUCAAGCAAAUCCAAAUGCAUCAAGUGAUGCAGUUUAGAAGAUGACAUCAGUUCUACUUGGGAAAAUUCUUGUUGCUUUAUUGGGUUGUUAGUCAAGAUUGAAUGGUGGUUUAUUUUUGGACAUAUACCUUAUAAACAUAUGUUUAAGGUGAUGUAAAAGUUUUUCUUUUUUAUUUCUAGUGGAAUGUUUUUGUGUUUUUUUAA